Molecule: ribosomal RNA, 261 nt
Filed under: uncultured bacterium
Lineage: Bacteria
Description: partial 16S ribosomal RNA
Rfam family: Bacterial small subunit ribosomal RNA
Source: RNAcentral
UACGUAGGGCGCAAGCGUUAUCCGGAAUUAUUGGGCGUAAAGAGCUCGUAGGCGGUUUGUCGCGUCUGCCGUGAAAAGUCCGGGGGCUCAACUCCGGAUCUGCGGUGGGUACGGGGCAGACUAGAGUGAUGUAGGGGAGACUGGAAUUCCUGGUGUAGCGGUGAAAAUGCGCAGAUAUCAGGAGGAACACCGAUGGCGAAGGCAGGUCUCUGGGCAUUUAACUGACGUGAGGAGCGAAAAGCAUGGGGGGAGCGAAACAGG